UGGGGAAUUUUGGACAAUGGGCGAAAGCCUGAUCCAGCAAUGCCGCGUGUGUGAAGAAGGCCUUCGGGUUGUAAAGCACUUUUGUCCGGAAAGAAAUCCUUGGCUCUAAUACAGUCGGGGGAUGACGGUACCGGAAGAAUAAGCACCGGCUAACUACGUGCCAGCAGCCGCGGUAAUACGUAGGGUGCAAGCGUUAAUCGGAAUUACUGGGCGUAAAGCGUGCGCGGGCGGUUUGCUAAGACCGAUGUGAAAUCCCCGGGCUCAACCUGGGAACUGCAUUGGUGACUGGCAGGCUAGAGUAUGGCAGAGGGGGGCAGAAUUCCACGUGUAGCAGUGAAAUGCGUAGAGAUGUGGAGGAAUACCGAUGGCGAAGGCAGCCCCCUGGGCCAAUACUGACGCUCAUGCACGAAAGCGUGGGGAGCAAACAGGAUUAGAUACCCUGGUAGUCCACGCCCUAAACGAUGUCAACUAGUUGUUGGGGAUUCAUUUCCUUAGUAACGUAGCUAACGCGUGAAGUUGACCGCCUGGGGAGUACGGUCGCAAGAUUAAAACUC
This 554-nucleotide ribosomal RNA is filed under the name uncultured bacterium. RNAcentral's name for it is "partial 16S ribosomal RNA". It matches the Rfam family "Bacterial small subunit ribosomal RNA", at positions 355 to 902 of the family's 1533-position model. The record is from RNAcentral.